GCGUCCUACGGGAGGCAGCAGUAGGGAAUUUUCGUCAAUGGGCGCAAGCCUGAACGAGCGAUGCCGCGUGAGUGAAGAAGGUCUUCGGAUCGUAAACCUCUGUCAGCAGGGAAGAACGGUCACUGUGCUAAUCAGCAGUGAAUUGACGGUACCUGCAAAGGAAGCACCGGCUAACUCCGUGCCAGCAGCCGCGGUAAUACGGAGGGUGCGAGCGGUAAUCGGAAUUACUGGGCGUAAAGCGCUCGUAGGCGGUAUGUCAAGUCAAGGGUGAAAUCCCCGCGCUCAACGUGGGAACUGCCUUUGAA
This 305-nucleotide ribosomal RNA is filed under the name uncultured bacterium. RNAcentral's name for it is "bacterial SSU rRNA". It matches the Rfam family "Bacterial small subunit ribosomal RNA", at positions 334 to 631 of the family's 1533-position model. The record is from RNAcentral.